Molecule: ribosomal RNA, 498 nt
Filed under: uncultured bacterium
Lineage: Bacteria
Description: partial 16S ribosomal RNA
Rfam family: Bacterial small subunit ribosomal RNA
Source: RNAcentral
AUUGAACGCUGGCGGCAUGCCUUACACAUGCAAGUCGAACGGUAACGCGGGGCAACCUGGCGACGAGUGGCGAACGGGUGAGUAAUGCAUCGGAACGUGCCUGGUAGUGGGGGAUAACUGCUCGAAAGAGCAGCUAAUACCGCAUACGACCUGAGGGUGAAAGGGGGGGAUCGCAAGACCUCUCGCUAUCAGAGCGGCCGAUGUCGGAUUAGCUAGUUGGUGGGGUAAAGGCCCACCAAGGCGACGAUCCGUAGCUGGUCUGAGAGGACGACCAGCCACACUGGGACUGAGACACGGCCCAGACUCCUACGGGAGGCAGCAGUGGGGAAUUUUGGACAAUGGACGCAAGUCUGAUCCAGCCAUGCCGCGUGCGGGAAGAAGGCCUUCGGGUUGUAAACCGCUUUUGUCAGGGAAGAAAUCUUCUGGGUUAAUACCUCGGGAGGAUAACGGUACCUGAAGAAUAAGCACCGGCUAACUACGUGCCAGCCGCCGCAGUAA